This is an RNA transcript of Cololabis saira (Pacific saury), 7318 nucleotides long. It is a transcript of the gene named glutamate receptor, ionotropic, AMPA 3a, with no coding region annotated. The record is from RefSeq and is a predicted model, not a curated record. NCBI's taxonomy places the organism in Eukaryota, Metazoa, Chordata, Actinopteri, Beloniformes, Belonidae. The transcript is spliced from 15 exons.
ACUGGCUUUAGGUUUCCAGCGGCAGCAGCAUCAGCAUCAGCAUCAGCAUCAGCAGCAGCAUCAGCAUCAGCAUCAGCAUCACUGGGCUGGCGCUGCAGUUGCGCUGGCACACAUUUAACGUGGGUGCACAGCGAUAGAGUGAGAGAGGGAGAGAGGGGGAGAGAGAGAAAGAGACGCCGCAUCUUGUGGAUUUCUUCUUUCAAGCCCGUGUACAUGGUUCUCCUCGCGUUCCCUCAGCCACGCACAGACGGGGAGUUUAUUUCACUUCACGGGGGAAAAUGUGGCAUCGGACAGUUGCGAGGAUCCUUGCUCUAUUGGUUUUCUGUGGCUCCUCGCUUGCAGGCUUUCCAAACCAGAUCAACAUUGGUGGGCUGUUCAUGCGCUCCACGGUGCAGGAGCACAGCGCCUUCAGGUUUGCUGUUCAGCUGUACAACACCAACCAGAAUGUGACAGAGAAACCCUUCCACCUUAAUUACAAUGUCGACAACUUGGAGUCCUCCAACAGUUUCUCUGUCACGCAUGCCUUCUGUUCCCAGUUCUCCCGGGGAGUUUACGCCAUCUUCGGCUUCUACGACCGGAAGUCCAUGAACACGCUGACCUCCUUCUGCGGGGCCCUGCACACCUCCUUCAUCACGCCCAGCUUCCCCAUCGACAACGACGUGCAGUUCGUCAUCCAGAUGAGGCCCAGCUUGAAGGGAGCUGUGCUCAGUCUGCUGGACCACUACAAGUGGGAGAAGUUCGUCUACCUGUACGACACCGACCGAGGUUUUGCAAUCCUCCAGGCCAUCAUGGAGUCGGCCGUUGCCAAAAACUGGCAGGUGACAGCUCGCUCAGUGGGGAACAUCGUGGAUCCGACAGAGUACCGGCGCAUCAUCGAGGAGAUGGACCGCCGGCAGGAGAAACGCUUCCUCGUCGACUGUGAGGUGAACAGGAUCAACGUGAUACUGGAGCAGGUGGUGAUCGCAGGCAAGAGCGGCCGAGGGUACCACUACAUCCUGGCCAACCUGGGUUUUUCCAACAUGAGCCUGGACAGGGUUAUUUCUGGUGGGGCCAACAUCACAGGCUUCCAGAUCAUCAACCCAGACAGCACCAUCGUCCAGCAGUUCCUUCAGCGCUGGGAGCGCUUGGAUGAAAGAGAAUUUCCAGAAGCCAAAAACACUCCACUGAAGUACACGUCGGCACUUACUCACGAUGCCAUCCUCGUGAUUGCGGAGGCCUUCCGGUAUCUUCGACGCCAGCGAGUUGACGUUUCGCGCCGGGGGAGUGCGGGUGACUGCCUGGCCAAUCCCGCCGUGCCCUGGAGCCAAGGCAUUGACAUAGAGAGAGCCCUCAAAAUGGUCCAAGUACAAGGUAUGACAGGAAACAUCCAGUUUGACACAUUUGGGAGACGAUCUAAUUACACCAUCGACGUGCACGAGAUGAAGUCCACGGGCCCCAGGAAGAUCGGCUACUGGAAUGAGUACGAAAAAUUUGUUUAUAUAAUGGAUCCGCAGGUCACCAACGAGUCCUCUUCUGUGGAAAACCGAACAAUUGUGGUCACUACUAUUAUGGAAGCUCCGUAUGUGAUGUACAAGAAAAACUAUAUGACAUCGGACGGGAAUGACAGAUAUGAAGGCUACUGUGUCGAUUUAGCUUCUGAAAUUGCAAAGCAUGUGGGGAUCAAAUAUAAGCUGUCCGUAGUGCCAGACGGGAAAUACGGAGCCAGAGAUCCAGAAACCAAGACCUGGAACGGGAUGGUGGGUGAACUGGUCUAUGGGAGAGCUGACAUAGCUGUGGCUCCACUAACCAUAACACUGGUACGGGAAGAGGUGAUAGACUUCUCUAAACCCUUCAUGAGCUUGGGCAUCUCCAUUAUGAUAAAGAAGCCCCAAAAGUCCAAGCCGGGGGUGUUUUCCUUCCUGGACCCGCUGGCCUAUGAGAUCUGGAUGUGUAUAGUCUUUGCCUAUAUCGGCGUCAGCGUGGUGCUCUUCCUGGUGAGCCGCUUCAGCCCUUAUGAGUGGCAUCUGGACGAGAAUGAUGAGGCCAAAGAUCCUCAGAGCCCCCCUGACCCUCCAAACGACUUCGGGAUUUUUAAUAGCCUGUGGUUCUCCUUGGGUGCCUUCAUGCAGCAAGGGUGCGAUAUCUCACCAAGGUCUCUGUCCGGUCGCAUUGUCGGGGGAGUGUGGUGGUUCUUCACCCUCAUCAUCAUCUCCUCCUACACGGCCAACCUGGCUGCCUUCCUCACCGUGGAGAGGAUGGUGUCUCCCAUAGAGAGCGCCGAGGACCUGGCCAAGCAGACGGAGAUCGCCUACGGCACCUUAGACUCCGGCUCCACCAAGGAGUUCUUCAGGCGCUCCAAAAUAGCAGUUUAUGAGAAAAUGUGGUCGUACAUGAAAUCGGCCGAACCCUCAGUGUUUGUCAAGACAACACCAGACGGGGUUUCCCGGGUACGAAAGUCGAAGGGCAAGUUUGCCUUUCUGCUCGAAUCCACCAUGAACGAGUACAUAGAGCAGCGGAAGCCAUGUGACACCAUGAAAGUGGGCGGCAACCUCGACUCGAAGGGCUACGGUGUGGCCACGCCUAAAGGCUCCGCAUUAGGAAAUGCUGUUAACCUGGCAGUGUUAAAACUGAAUGAGCAAGGCCUCUUGGACAAAUUGAAAAACAAAUGGUGGUACGACAAGGGAGAGUGCGGCAGCGGGGGAGGUGACUCUAAGGUCAGCCUCGAUGUCACGAAGUCGGGUAUCCUAGAACAGAGUAAUCGGCAAGGCUGUCGUCACUGGCGCUGAAAUCUGAGGCUAAAAAGGCAACUUGACCGAUAACCACGUACUGUAUGUGUUAGAUAUCUAUUCUGUUGAUCAACUGGGAACCCUUUGCUAGGCUAAUGGAGGAGAAAAGCAGCGAUAAUGUGAGAUAAACGUGAACUCUAGGAAACGCAGGGCUUGUGACAGAGUAGUUGUUUGGCCCGUGGUUAUGAAAGGCAGACGCCAUCCUUUUCUCUGGCUUUGAUAUCUACAGGCCAAUAAUAAAAAAAAAGAGAAAAAAAUCUCAGUAUCCUCACAUGUGGGAUGCAAACUAACAGCCAAAGAAAGUGAUUAUCUUACCUAAGUGGGAGGAUAGUCAGGGCAGGCACAGGAAACAGCGUUGUCUUGAGGGGACUAAGCAUCACAGGUAAACGUGAGAACUCUAAUGACGACGUGACGCCCAAACGGGCCACGCUUUGCUUUUUCUUCAUUUUGAUUUGUUGUUCCCUCCGACACCCUCACAAUGAACUCCAGCGUGUGACUGAUAAAGGCUUUUGCCUGGUCUCAACCUCAGACCAGUCAAAGCCUUUCCAUGGCCCCCCCUGACCUGGUACCACCCUGCAGUCACAGGAACAUACGAGCAGCAGGAAUUCACUCAAACAUACAUCUUACUAGGGUGUUUUAUUGUUUCCUAUCAUGGCACCGAAGCUGAGGUGCAAGGAACCGUGAGACGAUGCAGCUCUUGCAAAUGUUUGCUGGUGUGGGCCGCGGGACACGGGCGCGGGAAAAUGACGCGUUGCAUUUUCCAGCAUGGCCUGUCGCACUUAAACACCUAGUUCAUGUUCUAGUUAAAAACUGUUUAUUCAAAAGCUGCAUUGUCUCAUUUUUCAUGUCAAGUUAAAAGUGAUUAAACCGUAGGUAGUUCAACUAAUUAUCUUCUUCCUUUUUUCUUUUUUUUUUAUAUGAAGCCUGUCUUUCUUUUUCAUGCUGCGUGCAUGUUUUGUAUGUUUUAGCAUGACACAGUUUAUCCGUGAGCUGCACCACGAGCUCAGCUUUGCAGAACAGCAGGGACUGUGUUCGUCCUACAUCGGCACCUAUAACAGAUUUCUUUUCAUCACAUCUGUUGUUCAGACCUCCUAUAAGCGACCUGAUCUUGUGCCGCAGACCCCGGGCUGUAGUAACUGCGGAUCCAUCUCUGCCUCAGCUCUUCAGCUUGCAGCACCAUGAGAGCGGAGGCCGGGCUAGCCGGGCCCGCCUCGCUGUUACUCCCUCUGGUCAUCCGGUCCUGAGUGAGCAGGCUCCGGAUACCGCCAGAGGAGUAGCACGAGAGCCGCAUCUCCUCGCCCUUAAUCCCCCCCCCCCCCCCCCGCUCCAUUUAGGUCCGGAUAGAGAGACCAUAGGUCGUCAGUUUCACAUGUGACUGCCACAUUUCUUUGUCCUUAUUUCUUUGUCAGAAAGGCAUGUGUGGGUAAUUUAACUGUGAGAAAUGAAUAUAUUGUAUGUAAUGACCACUGAGAAACUGGAGAAAUAUAUAUAUAACUGAGCUUCCUGAAAUCAAAUUAAGAACAGAGCGAUACUUGGAUGGAAGGACUCAAAGAAAUCAAAAUUUGGCCUCCUGAUCAAACAUGUUCCCUAAAACAGAUAUUAAAACGACGUAUCUGUAGCUGCUUUCAGGUGCUCCUUCACGGCUUGAAGCUGAAUGAUUUCCUUGUGGGUUAAAAUGCCAUCACACGGUGUGAUUCUGAGUCUGUUCUGUUGGCAUGUUUUGUCCAUUUCCACGUGUGUUGUCGUGAGCGUUUGCAGAAACCAUGUCCCUCACCCCUGCUCCUGUUUUGCAGACAGACUGAAAGGUAAAGUUGUGAUUGGACACGAGACGUAAACACCUGUGCAAGGUGUCAGAUCCAGAGCAACGGCUGGUGUAUAAUGUGACCUGUGACGUUAUUAUAAUGAUGAACGCGUAUAAUGAUGUAAUUAUAAUAACGUAGUACCAGAGUACCCAAAAGGUAACACCGAUCUUGGUUCAGCAUCCUGUAAAAAACUGAUCAGGCUUCACAAACAGUAGCAGCACCAGCUGAUUGAUGAUAUUCUUUACUUAAUCCAUUAAUGAUUCAGCAUUUAACAUCAAAAAGAACAUUUUUCUUAAAGUCAUGAAAUCACACAUUAUGUUGUUUUAACAAAAGCACGUCUUUAAAUCUAUGCAAUGCAGCAAUACCAGCUCUGACCACAAGGGGGACUGUAGACCUGCUGUGUUGAUGGUCUGAUUGGUCGGACACGUCACGUAAACUGUAGCUGCCGCUCAUGAUGCCAAGAGCUGACACAUCAACUCUCUUGGUACAUGCUGCCCUCAUGUGGUCAGAAGUAAUAUUACUACAUAGGGUGGCUUUAAAAUGAGGUUUUAAAUUUAAAUGCAAGGGGGAAAACAUUGCGGCUGACUUUCAAUUAAGUCAAACGUUUAUCUAUUUUUCUGCAAGGAAAUUCUGUGAAACAGAUUUGAAUGAAUACAUAUUAAAAUACUUUUUACAUAAAAAACAAGAGGAAAAGGAAAUUAUAUUAUUUUGUAGUCUAAGAGUAUGAAAAAUCCACUACAAGUACAAGUGGAAGCGACUGUGAUAGUUGGACAGAGAGAUGCAGGGUGACAGACUUGGAAAGCCAGGCUCAAAUAUAGUUAUACAAGAGAGAUUGGCAUCGAUAUGACAGCUUAUAGCCAAGUAAAAUGCAAUUUAAAUAGGCGUAAACUGACAAGUGUAUUUAUUAUUUUAACUCGUCCAAUGGGCACCAGCAGCUAGAAGCUGAUGUAUGAGCAUUUCAUUAAUUAACACUUUUGUUAAGAUAUAAGCUAAGUCAUUAAUGUAGAAAUGCAUAUAUAUGUAUAUAAAUGUAUAUAUAUGUAUAUAUAACUAUAUAUGUAUAUGUACAUACGCAUGUAUAUGUAAAGGUAGGGUAAGUAUUGAUUCUUCACAUUUCUAACCCUAAACCCUUCUAGUGAAAAGAACUAAAAAAAAAUCACAUUUCUGUGAAGAUAAUUGAUAUUAAAUGUGCAUGAACUCUGUUUUAUCAUUUGGAUUCAGUUUAUCAAUGUAAAGGAUAUUUAAGUGACACCUCUGAUCAAUAAUGAACCAAAUGUAAUCAUGUCUUUGUUUACUCACACCACUCAGUGAAGGUCCGGCGUUCCCAGGAUCCCUUCUGCUACUUCCAUCAACUUCCAUCAACUGUUUAAGCAGAGAAAAUUAUAAAUAUAUAAGUGUAUUAUUAGUCCAGACCUGUCUCCAGAAAACCCUCCUGAGACUCAUUGUCAAGGGUGGUUUCAUUUGUCUUAACCUGAACAAUUUAAAUCUUUUAUCAGCUGUAUUCUGGUCCUUUGGGUUGAAAGAGAAAGAAAGAGAAAGAAGCCUCAGGAGAUCCAAAGAGGACCAGAAGGAGACCUGGGUCUAUUUUCAAAUGUAAAAGUACUUCUGCUGGUUCAACUUUAAGAAAAGCUGAGGUCAAUCCUCUUAAAUACGCCAAAGACACCCUAAUCCCAACUGUGUCAUCGUCCAGAUGAUACGGAUACUUUGCAAAAUAAGCUCAAGCACUGAUGAAUCUGCUCUUGUUUUGAAACCCCAGCAUCAUUGUUGCUACGCAGGAAGGGGUUAAAUCAAAUAUACCUUAGCAAUCAUAACUUUACCUUUCUUUGCACCCCCCCCCCCCUUUCUCCAUGCAUUUGACGUGCAAAAGCACAGUGGUGAAUACAAUAUAUUUGAUGAUGUUAGAUUACAUACACUGAUCAUUUUCUGAAAGGAAACAAGCCCGGAAAUCUGGCAGUGAAGGAGAAGGAGCAUAAUGUCUUGCCAAACGAGCCCCUCAAAUUUAUCCUGUAGUCCUGAAGAGAUUGGGUUGCCACCUAAACGCCCCGACCCGUUCUGGCUGCUGCAGACCAGCAGAUGAACAAUCAACCAGCCCUGCUGUUAUGUGGCGAAGCCAGCAAACAAGGCAGAUUCCCCUCGCAAGGACUCCCUGUUUCCAAGGGUGACUUUGAGAGACAUUAUUCUCUGAUAGCUGCAAAUGAAAUGAUUGGGCUGCUGUGCUUGUCUGUUAGUCAGGAAAGGGUUCCUGUUAGAUCUACUUUGCUAAACAUCCAAACCAAAAGUGCCCUCAGCAAUAACUUCUGCUUCUGUUUUCAUCCAUUCUUUAAAAGCUACGCAGAAGCUGCUUUAUUCUGCCACUUCAGACCUUUUUCUUGUGAUCAGUGUGUGCCGAUUACUCAAAGCGAUACAGGCGGGGUCUGGCAUGCUAGGGUAGUCAUGGAUCGUGAAAGUAAUAUAUAUUUCUAUAUACUGUAGAGAUGCUUGCUAUCUGUGAUAUGUUGGCCAGGACCCUACUCUAUCGCUUUGUACUGUAUAAAGUAGUUUAAAAAGUUGAAUAACAUAAAAUAACAUAAUACAAUGUUAUUUAUGUUAUUUCCCACGUGAAGAACUCCUGUAAACCUUGCAGUAUUGAAACUCAGUGAACAAGGCAUCUUAGACAAGCUGAAAAACAAAUGGUGGUACGAUAAGGGUGAAUGUGGAACCAAGGACUCUGGAAGUAAGGACAAGACAAGUGCACUAAGCCUGAGCAACGUG